RNAcentral lists this ribosomal RNA (273 nucleotides) under uncultured bacterium. RNAcentral describes it as "partial 16S ribosomal RNA". It matches the Rfam family "Bacterial small subunit ribosomal RNA", at positions 524 to 796 of the family's 1533-position model. The record is from RNAcentral.
UACAGAGGGCGCAAGCGUUAUUCGGAUUCACUGGGCAUAAAGAGCACGUAGGCGGCUACGUAAGUCGGAUGUGAAAUCCCGCGGCUCAACCGCGGAAUGGCAUCCGAUACUGCGUGGCUCGAGGUCGGAAGGGGUAAGCGGAACUCCAGGUGGAACGGUGAAAUGUGUAGAUAUCUGGAGGAACACCGGUGGCGAAGGCGGCUUACUGGUCCGAAUCUGACGCUGAGGUGCGAAAGCUAGGGGAGCGAACGGGAUUAGAUACCCCCGUAGUCC